Molecule: transfer RNA, 77 nt
Filed under: Marinobacter nauticus
Lineage: Bacteria; Pseudomonadati; Pseudomonadota; Gammaproteobacteria; Pseudomonadales; Marinobacteraceae
Also listed under: 153 other names
Description: Marinobacter hydrocarbonoclasticus tRNA-Met
Rfam family: tRNA
About the family: Transfer RNA (tRNA) molecules are approximately 80 nucleotides in length.
Source: RNAcentral
UGCGGGGUGGAGCAGUCUGGUAGCUCGUCGGGCUCAUAACCCGAAGGUCGUUGGUUCGAAUCCAGCCCCCGCUACCA